Molecule: long non-coding RNA, 468 nt
Organism: Columba livia (rock pigeon)
Lineage: Eukaryota; Metazoa; Chordata; Aves; Columbiformes; Columbidae
Exons: 3
Source: RefSeq, a predicted model, not a curated record
UCUCUGCCGGCUUCCCGCGGUGGAUGCCCUGCAGCGACAGCCGCCGGUAGUCGUCCCGGGCUUGCCGUGCGAGGGACCGUCUCUUCUCGUCCGCCGCCUUGGAUCUCCGCACUGCAACAGAGACAACAAGCGGGCAAAGCUCGUCCCAAGCUCUUACGGGAUUCCUGCCACUCGGGCUCGCUCUCGUCCGGUUUCUGCGGCGUGCUGCGGCUCCCGGCGCUGGGCUGGCUCUGCGGCGGCUCCUGGGGGGCCGGGGGCUCUUCUGCUGCAUUUCUCCUCUCUGCCUCCUUCACCUGUGAAAGGAAUGGUGUGUGCAGUGAUUUCUCCCAGGUUAUAACAAAGGAAGGGAAAACAAAUCUAUCGGAAGCCACAGGGAGCAUGUCCUGGCUGCCAGGCUGACCUGCUUUGUGUCACCUCCACAUUGUCCCACCGUGCGUGAGGAGCGUGGCAACGCGGGAGGAGACCAGU